CCUACGGGCGGCUGCAGUGGGGAAUUUUGGACAAUGGGGGAAACCCUGAUCCAGCCAUCCCGCGUGUGCGAUGAAGGCCUUCGGGUUGUAAAGCACUUUUGUCAGGGAAGAAAAGGUUCUGGCUAAUAUCCGGAACUGAUGACGGUACCUGAAGAAUAAGCACCGGCUAACUACGUGCCAGCAGCCGCGGUAAUACGUAGGGUGCAAGCGUUAAUCGGAAUUACUGGGCGUAAAGCGUGCGCAGGCGGUUCGGAAAGAAGGAUGUGAAAUCCCAGGGCUCAACCUUGGAACUGCAUUCUUAACUACCGGACUAGAGUAUGUCAGAGGGGGGUAGAAUUCCGCGUGUAGCAGUGAAAUGCGUAGAUAUGCGGAGGAAUACCGAUGGCGAAGGCAGCCCCCUGGGAUAAUACUGACGCUCAUGCACGAAAGCGUGGGUAGCAAACAGGAUUAGAUACCCCUGUAGUC
RNAcentral lists this ribosomal RNA (465 nucleotides) under uncultured Advenella sp. RNAcentral describes it as "bacterial SSU rRNA". It matches the Rfam family "Bacterial small subunit ribosomal RNA", at positions 338 to 795 of the family's 1533-position model. Lineage: Bacteria; Pseudomonadati; Pseudomonadota; Betaproteobacteria; Burkholderiales; Alcaligenaceae. The record is from RNAcentral.